UCUCUGUGAUGAUGAAAACAGAUGACGAGUUUGAUGUAGUCCAUUCUAUUAAACCAUGUUGACAAUCGAGGCAUUUGUCUGAGAGAG
Molecule: small nucleolar RNA, 87 nt
Filed under: Hordeum vulgare
Lineage: Eukaryota; Viridiplantae; Streptophyta; Magnoliopsida; Poales; Poaceae
Also listed under: 1 other name
Description: Plant small nucleolar RNA SNOR75
Rfam family: Plant small nucleolar RNA SNOR75
About the family: U15 is a member of the C/D class of snoRNA which contain the C (UGAUGA) and D (CUGA) box motifs.
Source: RNAcentral